Molecule: ribosomal RNA, 253 nt
Filed under: uncultured bacterium
Lineage: Bacteria
Also listed under: 1 other name
Description: partial 16S ribosomal RNA
Rfam family: Bacterial small subunit ribosomal RNA
Source: RNAcentral
UACAGAGGGUGCAAGCGUUAAUCGGAUUUACUGGGCGUAAAGCGAGUGUAGGUGGUUUGCUAAGUCAGAUGUGAAAUCCCAGGGCUCAACCCUGGAACUGCAUUUGAUACUGGCAGGCUAGAGUGUGGUAGAGGAUAGUGGAAUUCCCGGUGUAGCGGUGAAAUGCGUAGAUAUCGGGAGGAACAUCAGUGGCGAAGGCGGCUAUCUGGACUAACACUGACACUGAGACUCGAAAGCGUGGGGAGCAAACAGG